UAGGGAAUCUUCGGCAAUGGACGAAAGUCUGACCGAGCAACGCCGCGUGAGUGAAGAAGGUUUUCGGAUCGUAAAACUCUGUUGUUAGAGAAGAACAAGGACGUUAGUAACUGAACGUCCCCUGACGGUAUCUAACCAGAAAGCCACGGCUAACUACGUGCCAGCAGCCGCGGUAAUACGUAGGUGGCAAGCGUUGUCCGGAUUUAUUGGGCGUAAAGCGAGCGCAGGCGGUUUCUUAAGUCUGAUGUGAAAGCCCCCGGCUCAACCGGGGAGGGUCAUUGGAAACUGGGAGACUUGAGUGCAGAAGAGGAGAGUGGAAUUCCGUGUGUAGCGGUGAAAUGCGUAGAUAUAUGGAGGAACACCAGUGGCGAAGGCGGCUCUCUGGUCCGUAACUGACGCUGAGGCUCGAAAGCGUGGGGAGCAAACAGG
RNAcentral lists this ribosomal RNA (429 nucleotides) under Gemmatimonadota bacterium. Its description in RNAcentral is "Gemmatimonadetes bacterium partial 16S ribosomal RNA". It matches the Rfam family "Bacterial small subunit ribosomal RNA", at positions 355 to 776 of the family's 1533-position model. The record is from RNAcentral. Lineage: Bacteria; Pseudomonadati; Gemmatimonadota.